GACGGGAGCUUGCUCCCUURGGUCAGCGGCGGACGGGUGAGUAACACGUGGGUAACCUGCCUGUAAGACUGGGAUAACUCCGGGAAACCGGGGCUAAUACCGGAUGCUUGAUUGAACCGCAUGGUUCAAUCAUAAAAGGUGGCUUUUAGCUACCACUURCAGAUGGACCCGCGGCGCAUUAGCUAGUUGGUGAGGUAACGGCUCACCAAGGCGACGAUGCGUAGCCGACCUGAGAGGGUGAUCGGCCACACUGGGACUGAGACACGGCCCAGACUCCUACGGGAGGCAGCAGUAGGGAAUCUUCCGCAAUGGACGAAAGUCUGACGGAGCAACGCCGCGUGAGUGAUGAAGGUUUUCGGAUCGUAAAACUCUGUUGUUAGGGAAGAACAAGUACCGUUCGAAUAGGGCGGCACCUUGACGGUACCUAACCAGAAAGCCACGGCUAACUACGUGCCAGCAGCCGCGGUAAUACGUAGGUGGCAAGCGUUGUCCGGAAUUAUUGGGCGUAAAGCGCGCGCAGGCGGUUUCUUAAGUCUGAUGUGAAAGCCCCCGGCUCAACCGGGGAGGGUCAUUGGAAACUGGGGAACUUGAGUGCAGAAGAGGAGAGUGGAAUUCCACGUGUAGCGGUGAAAUGCGUAGAGAUGUGGAGGAACACCAGUGGCGAAGGCGACUCUCUGGUCUGUAACUGACGCUGAGGCGCGAAAGCGUGGGGAGCGAACAGGAUUAGAUACCCUGGUAGUCCACGCCGUAAACGAUGAGUGCUAAGUGUUAGAGGGUUUCCGCCCUUUAGUGCUGCAGCAAACGCAUUAAGCACUCCGCCUGGGGAGUACGGUCGCAAGACUGAAACUCAAAGGAAUUGACGGGGGCCCGCACAAGCGGUGGAGCAUGUGGUUUAAUUCGAAGCAACGCGAAGAACCUUACCAGGUCUUGACAUCYUCUGACAACCCUAGAGAUAGGGCUUCCCCUUCGGGGGCAGAGUGACAGGUGGUGCAUGGUUGUCGUCAGCUCGUGUCGUGAGAUGUUGGGUUAAGUCCCGCAACGAGCGCAACCCUUGAUCUUAGUUGCCAGCAUUCAGUUGGGCACUCUAAGGUGACUGCCGGUGACAAACCGGAGGAAGGUGGGGAUGACGUCAAAUCAUCAUGCCCCUUAUGACCUGGGCUACACACGUGCUACAAUGGGCAGAACAAAGGGCAGCGAAGCCGCGAGGCUAAGCCAAUCCCACAAAUCUGUUCUCAGUUCGGAUCGCAGUCUGCAACUCGACUGCGUGAAGCUGGAAUCGCUAGUAAUCGCGGAUCAGCAUGCCGCGGUGAAUAC
RNAcentral lists this ribosomal RNA (1314 nucleotides) under Bacillus sp. (in: firmicutes). Its description in RNAcentral is "bacterial SSU rRNA". Lineage: Bacteria; Bacillati; Bacillota; Bacilli; Caryophanales; Bacillaceae. The record is from RNAcentral.